This 402-nucleotide ribosomal RNA is filed under the name bacterium. Its description in RNAcentral is "partial 16S ribosomal RNA". It matches the Rfam family "Bacterial small subunit ribosomal RNA", at positions 355 to 776 of the family's 1533-position model. The record is from RNAcentral.
UGGGGAAUUUUGCACAAUGGGGGAAACCCUGAUGCAGCGACGCCGCUUGAUUUAGAAGGCCUUCGGGUUGUAAAAAUCUUUUCUAUGGGAAGAAAAUGACAGUACCAUAGGAAUAAGGACCGGCUAAUUACGUGCCAGCAGCCGCGGUAAUACGUAAGGUCCGAGCGUUGUCCGGAAUCAUUGGGCGUAAAGGGUACGUAGGCGGGUAAGCAAGUUAGAAGUGAAAUCCUAUAGCUCAACUAUAGUAAGCUUUUAAAACUGCUCAUCUUGAGGGAUGGAAGGGAAAGUGGAAUUCCUAGUGUAGCGGUGAAAUGCGCAGAUAUUAGGAGGAAAACCGGUGGCGAAGGCGACUUUCUGGCCAGAACCUGACGCUGAGGUACGAAAGCGUGGGUAGCAAACAGG